Molecule: ribosomal RNA, 303 nt
Filed under: Triticum aestivum (bread wheat)
Lineage: Eukaryota; Viridiplantae; Streptophyta; Magnoliopsida; Poales; Poaceae
Description: partial small subunit ribosomal RNA
Source: RNAcentral
AUGCUUCUGCUAAUCCAAGGAAAUUAUGAACAAACCCAGAUCAUUAAAAGGAUUUUACAUGCUUUCUCCAAUUUCACUGGGUUACAUAUAAAUUUCAGCAAGAGCACCUUCAUCCCAAUAUGUAUGGAUGAAGCUACAAGUUUGAGAGUGGCUGAGAUGUUCCAAUGCUCCAUUUCGUCGUUCCCAUGCAUCUACUUGGGUAUGCCUCUCUCCAUGAAAAAGAUAUCACACGACCUAUUGAUGCCAGUUAUUCAUAAGAUUGACAAGAGGCUCUCUGGCUGGCUUGCCACCUUCCUGUUCUAG